AUGCCCACCCGACAAUGGAGCAUAAAAUUCCCCAACCUCGCAAUCGCCUCCAUUCCGGCAGAUGAAACCCUAGGACCCGAUGGCCUAGCCACCAUUCCCAGACACAGCCCGCCCGCCGCCGCCGCCAUGCCGCCGUUCCGGCGCUGGGCGGAUCUGCCGGCGGACCUCCUCUGCCGCAUCGGCGACAGCCUCGACCUCAAGUGCUACGCCAGCGCGCGGGGCGCCUGCACGGCCUGGCGAUGCGCGCUCUCGCCGCCGUCCCCGUCGCUCCUCGUCGUCCUCGACGACGCCAGGUGCUGCCCGUCCGCCGCGUCGCUCCCCACCCACCGCUCCUUCGAGCUCAAGAACAUCCUCUCGGGGGGCCGAUGCGUCGGCUCCAGCAACGGCUGGCUCGCCCUCUCCGUCUGCCUCUACGGCGGCCAGAGCAUGUUCAGCCUCUUCAACCCCAUCACCGCCACGGAGAUCCUUCUGCCGCCGCUGAUCUACGAGAGCCGCUGGGUCUCCAAGCUCGUCUUCGCGCCCAACCCCGCCAGGGACGACUUCGCCGCCGCCGCCAUCUGCGACAUCGACAGGCUCGCCUACGUCACCGCGGGGGCCAGGAGGUGGGCCAUCCUCGAUCCCGUUCGCCUCUCCAGCGGAGAUCAGCUCGCCGAUGUCGUCUACCAUGAAAAAGGUAGGGUCUACUGCCUCACCCGCUAUGGAGAUGUCCACGUGCUCCGCCUGCCGGAGCGCCGCCGCAGGAAGCCUAUCGUCGUCGAGGAUCCAGCUGGCCCAUCAGAGCCAGAGAUGCCUUUAGGGCGUCCCUCACUCAGUCUUCAGGGAAGAAGACAGCGCAACUUGCGCAUGCUCUGCUAUGAACAUCGUAGAUGGAGAGAGCAGCAGCUUCCAAUUGCUACAAUGAAGGCUGCCUUCUGCCCAGAUGUGUUUAUGCCUCUUAGGAGAGUUCCUCCUGGAUCUGUCGGACCGGAUCUAAAUGCACCGGCCACAGUCGAGCCCAUGUUGUCUGAGUGCAACCUACCGUUCGACCCUGCUACCUGUUUUGCCGCGCCAUACAACACGGUGUCGGUUUUUACUAGUGCCAAGAACCUGGUGUUCUGCGACGGUAAUCUGUAUCAAAUCUGGAGGAAUGCAAGCUGCACGGUUACUUUGCAGCUGCCAGGAGGCGGUCACCGCCGUGUAGCCGAGAAUGAAAUACUUGUUCUCAGGUAUUAUCCCCGGCGCCAACCAUGCUGGGAUGCCGUGACGGACUUGGGAGGCUACUCGGUGUUUGUUGGGAGGAACAAUGCGGUAUCGAUGUAUGCUGAAGAUGUUCCAGGACUGAAGGGUAAUUGCGUGUAUUGGAUCGGCGGGAGGGGCAGGGAUCAGGGCAUGGUCUUUGACAUGGGGACUGGGAGGUCUACACCUUGCCUUCCCGUUGCUGGUGCUGGUGUCGUUCCGGGGCCUCCACAGAGCACAAUCUGCUGGUACUUUCUCAGCGACAUAGUGAAUAACUGCAACAUAAGUGCACGAAGAAAAGUUUAUCAGACCCGGGCAAGGGUCCGGGCUGAACGUGAGCAAGAUUUGGAGGAUUGA
RNAcentral lists this ribosomal RNA (1572 nucleotides) under Triticum aestivum (bread wheat). Its description in RNAcentral is "partial small subunit ribosomal RNA". Lineage: Eukaryota; Viridiplantae; Streptophyta; Magnoliopsida; Poales; Poaceae. The record is from RNAcentral.